This is a long non-coding RNA of Nicotiana attenuata, 704 nucleotides long. RefSeq lists it as uncharacterized. Lineage: Eukaryota; Viridiplantae; Streptophyta; Magnoliopsida; Solanales; Solanaceae. The record is from RefSeq and is a predicted model, not a curated record. The transcript has 3 exons.
ACGGCCGAAACCUCAAAGCCCUAACAUAUUGGGGAUUCUAAAAUUGGCUCCAUCUUUUACCAAACUUAGUCUAAUUUUAGUCAAAUUUGAUUUCCAUCACCGCAAUAUAUUCCCUCUCUGCAAAUUGUGGUUCCGAAAAAAGCUAUGUAUGGAGAGUAUGAGAGAUUUAGAAGGAAAAGAUUUUGGCGGUAAGAAUUUUCGGAUUCCCUCUUCCUAAUUCUAAAAUUAAGUUUCCUUUAUUAGUUAGAACCCAACAACCUAAUUUUGCAUUACGCUUUGGCAAUUUUAUUGGAAAUUUAAGAAAACAAGGAAAGGGAGGCAAGCUAUUGGAAGAACAUUGAUGUAGGGUUCAGACUCUUGGUGAGGCUUUUGCAGGUUUUCGAUGACUCACAUGAAGAUCACCAACAAUCAUUAUCACCGAUUUCAGUUGUUCACAAAAAUAAGAACUUCUGAAGGAUGUAAGAUCAAUUAUUGCAAGGAAUACUUGGCUUGUGAUGGAUCCGUAAAGCCUUGCUUCAGAAUUUAUUCUAGAAUUUAAGGGAAUUCAUUCAGAUUAGAAGUGAAUUUGACAUAGUUCCAUGUUAAAAUUACUUUAUCUUUUAUGAUUUAAUUUGAAUUACUUUUUAUUUGAGAUUCAGGUCAUUUGAUUUGAACUCUUAACUUGUAAGGAGAACCCUUAUUAUGUCAGUUACCAUGUUCUUCAA